AUCCAGCUGACGAGUCCCAAAUUGGACGAAACGCGCGUCCUAAAU
This 45-nucleotide non-coding RNA is filed under the name Schistosoma curassoni. Lineage: Eukaryota; Metazoa; Platyhelminthes; Trematoda; Strigeidida; Schistosomatidae. The record is from RNAcentral.